Molecule: transfer RNA, 37 nt
Filed under: Pseudoroegneria strigosa
Lineage: Eukaryota; Viridiplantae; Streptophyta; Magnoliopsida; Poales; Poaceae
Description: partial tRNA-Glu
Source: RNAcentral
CAAGGAGGCAGCGGGGAUUCGACUUCCCCUGGGGGUA